GGUUCGAUUAUGGCUCAGAUUGAACGCUGGCGGGAUGUUUACACAUGCAAGUCGAACGGCAGCACGGACUUCGGUCUGGUGGCGAGUGGCGAACGGGUGAGUAAUGUAUCGGAACGUGCCUGAAAGUAGCGGGGGAUAACUACGCGAAAGCGUAGCUAAUACCGCAUACGCCCUUCGAAGGAAAGCAGGGGACCUUCCGGGCCUCCGCACUAUUGAAACGGCCGAUAUCGGAUUAGCUAGUUGGUGGGGUAACGGCUCGCAAGGCGACGAUCCGUAGCGCUGGUUGAGAGGACGACCAGCCGCACUGGGACUGAGACGGCCCAGACUCCUACGGGAGGCAGCAGUGGGAAUUUUGGACAAUGGGAAACCCUGAUCCAGCCAUCCCGCGUGUGCGAUGAAGGCCUUCGGGUUGUAAAGCACUUUGGCAGGAAAGAAACGGCACGGGAUAUUACCCGUGCAGCUGACAAUACCUGCAGAAUAAGCACCGGCUAACUGCGUGCCAGCAGCCGCGCUUGCCGUGUGCACGUAGGGUGCAAGCGUUAAUCGAAUUACUGGGCGUAAAGCGUGCGCCGGGCGGUUCGGAAAGAAAGAUGUGAAAUCCCGGAAACAACUUUGGAACUGCAUUUUUUAACUACCGAGCUAGAGUGUGUCAGAGGAGGUGGAAUUCCGCGAUAAUAGCCCAGUGAAAUGCGUAGAUAUGCGGAGGAACACCGAUAGCGGCUGACCUCCUGGGAUAACACUGACGCUCAUGCACAGCGUGAGAACAGAGCAAGUUAGAUACCCUGGUGAUCCACGCCCUAAACGAUGUCAACUAGCUGUUGGGGCCUUCGGGCCUUGGUAGCGCAGCUAACGCGUGAAGUUGACCGCCUGGGAGUACGGUGCAAGAUUAAAACUCAAAGGAAUUGACGGGGACCCGCACAAGCGGUGGAUGAUGUGGAUUAAUUCGAUGCAACGCGAAAACCGCACCUACCGCUUGACAUGUCUGGAAUCCCGAAGAGAUUUGCAGGAGUGCUCGCAAGAGAACCGGAACACAGGUGCUGCAUGGCUGUCGUCAGCUCGUGUCGUGAGAUGUUGGGUUAAGUCCCGCAACGAGCGCAACCCUUGUCAUUAGUUGCUACGAAGGGCACUCUAAUGGGGCUGCCAUUGGAAACCGGAGGAAGGUGGGGAUGACGUCGAAGUCCUCCUUAGCCCUUAUGGUGAGGCUUCACACGUCAUACAAUGGUCAGGACGGUGCGCCAACCCGCGAGGCCAAUCCAAAACCCGAUCGUAGUCCGGAUCGCAGUCUGCGAAAACUCGACUGCGUGAAGUCAGAAUCGCUAGUAAUCGCGGAUCAGCAUGUCGCAGUGAAUACGUUCGGGUCUUGUACACACCGCCCGUCACACCAUGGGAGUGGGUUUCAGAAGUAGUUAGCCUAACCGUAAGGGAGGCGAUUACCACGAUGAGAUUCAUGACUGGGGUGAAGUCGUAACGAUAG
Molecule: ribosomal RNA, 1474 nt
Filed under: uncultured Bordetella sp.
Lineage: Bacteria; Pseudomonadati; Pseudomonadota; Betaproteobacteria; Burkholderiales; Alcaligenaceae
Description: partial 16S-23S ribosomal RNA intergenic spacer
Rfam family: Bacterial small subunit ribosomal RNA
Source: RNAcentral